CCAUGUGCUCGUACAUUAUUUUUCACUCUGGAAAGAAGAAAGCAUUAGCACUAACUCAUCCGCAAUAAGCUGAUGUAUUUUUGUAUUUAUUAAAAUAGUGUGUUCUCACAAAAAUAGUAAAAAAAUAAAUAAAAAUCUUUCAAAUUCUUUCAAAAGCAUUGUAAUUCAGAAGUUCAGAACUCUAUAGCUACUAUAUAAAACUGGAUAUAAAUAAAAUCCCAAAAUACUGCACAAAGUAUCUAAACCCAGGAAAUUACAGACUUAGGCUAUAUUUGUAAUAUUGCUUAUUUUGCAAAAGUAGGCAACGUGAAGCAACCUAUACUUUCUACAGUUAAUGUAAAGUAUAAUGUACAGUUAGCCAGUCAUCAGAGCUAUUAAGUUAAAAAAUCUAUAUUGUUGCUGUAUAUGUACACGAAUUAAGUAAAGAAUUAAGUUUUAAAAUCGUAUUUUGAUUUCCUAAAUCGAAAUCGAAUUAUGAGGUGGCAAAAUUCUAACGAGAAUAAUUACUUAAUAAUAAAUUGUAUCAAAUGACACUAACCCCUGGUGAUACAUUUCAAUAAUGCUGUAAGACAAAUUCGAUGAAGGGCUACAUAUGGGUAAUUAACCAUAAUAAGUGAUGGGACUGCAUAACAAACAUAUGUUGAGAAUAAACGUUUCUACAGAAGGGAAAUUAAGAGUCUGGCUGAGAAGUAAUUGCUGAUAAUACU
Long non-coding RNA from Cyprinus carpio carpio, 707 nucleotides. Lineage: Eukaryota; Metazoa; Chordata; Actinopteri; Cypriniformes; Cyprinidae. The record is from Ensembl.